This 73-nucleotide transfer RNA is filed under the name Loxodonta africana (African savanna elephant). It matches the Rfam family "tRNA". From Rfam's summary of the family: Transfer RNA (tRNA) molecules are approximately 80 nucleotides in length. Their secondary structure includes four short double-helical elements and three loops (D, anti-codon, and T loops). Lineage: Eukaryota; Metazoa; Chordata; Mammalia; Proboscidea; Elephantidae. The record is from Rfam by way of RNAcentral.
ACCCAGGUAACUCAGGUGGUGGAGCAUUAGACUUUUAAUCUAAGGGUCCAGGGUUCAAGUCCCUGUUCAGGUG